RNAcentral lists this ribosomal RNA (462 nucleotides) under uncultured bacterium. RNAcentral's name for it is "partial 16S ribosomal RNA". It matches the Rfam family "Bacterial small subunit ribosomal RNA", at positions 339 to 795 of the family's 1533-position model. The record is from RNAcentral.
CUACGGGCGCACCAGUGGGGAAUAUUGCACAAUGGGCGCAAGCCUGAUGCAGCCAUGCCGCGUGUAUGAAGAAGGCCUUCGGGUUGUAAAGUACUUUCAGCGGGGAGGAAGGGAGUAAAGUUAAUACCUUUGCUCAUUGACGUUACCCGCAGAAGAAGCACCGGCUAACUCCGUGCCAGCAGCCGCGGUAAUACGGAGGGUGAAGCGUUAAUCGGAAUUACUGGGCGGAAAGCGCACGCAGGCGGUUUGUUAAGUCAGAUGUGAAAUCCCCGGGCUCAACCUGGGAACUGCAUCUGAUACUGGCAAGCUUGAGUCUCGUAGAGGGGGGUAGAAUUCCAGGUGUAGCGGUGAAAUGCGUAGAGAUCUGGAGGAAUACCAGUGGCGAUGGCGGCCCCCUGGACGAAGACUGACGCUCAGGUGCGAAAGCGUGGGGAGCAAACAGGAUUAGAUACCCGCGUAGUC